CAGCAAAUAAUAUCACUUUAAAGGUAAGAACCUUAGCUAAUUUAUAAGUAACACUUUUGUAACACUUUAACAUUAUGUAACACUUGAUUGUAACACUUUGAUUUUAAGUAACACUUGAUUGUAACACUUAGAUCUUAAGUAACACUUGAUUUUAACACUCUAAUAUUAAGUAACACUUUGAUAUGAAGUAGCAAUUUAAUAUAAACACUUGAUUGCAAUUGUAAGCCUUACUUGUAAUUAACAAUGUACCCACUAGUAGAAAAACACAAAUGGGCACCAACACGCAAAAAAAAAAAAAAAAAAAAAAAACCUAAAAAUUCAAGCCAACACCAAAAAAAGAAAAAAAAAACGGCGUAAAAGGGCACCGGUUUGGUUCAAACUUGUACUAUUGUAUUUUUUUUCGAAAGAGUACCCUUGUAAUUGAGUUAAGAGCACUGAUUUCCCCAAAUCUAUAAUACUACUGCCUCCAUUUCAAUAUGAUAGUCUCAUAUACAAUCAAUCACAUAAAAUAAGAAAAAAAAAUAUUUGGAAUCUAAUAAUGAAGUCAAAACCAAUUUCUUAAUUGAAGUAGUAAAUUUUUUAUUUUAGUUUUUGUUUCUUAUUAGAAAGAGGAAUAGUGACAUACCUAUUUCGCCCUCUUCUCAAAUUACUGAAUUUUAACCUUGCCCUUAUUCUUCCUUCUAUGUCAAAAGCUUUUCCCUUUAGGCUCGUGCUUCCUUAUUCAUUUUCACUUUUUCUUCCAUUACCAUCCCCUUUCCCUAUUUCUAUGGCUGACGAAAGAGAAGAUCAGAGGGGGGAAGAAGAUAUUUGAAUCGUGAAAGAGGGCAGUGGUGAUGGCGGUGUGUUCUUGAUAUUCGGUCGCCUCACCUCAUUAAUAAGGGCGGUGGGAGAAGAUCGGUGGUGAUGUUGAAUUGGCCUCCUUCAAUUCUUCUAUUCACCCUGUUAAUUUUGCUAGUUUAAAUUCCACUUCCUCUAAAAUCCUUAAAUGUGAUGAUGGAAAUUAAACAGAUUGAUUAUGAGGUUUCCUAAAAGGUGAAAUUCAAUUUUCUAGUAGCUUUCAAGGUAAGAUGUUCUUUUUGUUGUUAUCAUUGAUUAUUACAUUCAUAAUAUAGGAUUUUUUAUUACUUUGAUUCUUAUUAUACUCAAUUAAUUUAGGGUUAUACUUAAAUUUAUGUUUACACUAGCAUGCUAAAUAUGCUAUUGAACCUUGAUGCUAAUAGUUUUGGAGGAAAUUGAGGUAUAAAAAGGAUUCCCUAUUUACUUUAAGGUUUGAAUGAGUUAUUUUUUUAUAAUUUGUUUGAUAGAAGUAGAGUAUCAUAAUGCAAAAAGUUUUCCAUUUGAUUUGCUACAAGGUAUUCAUUGAUCAAUAAGAGAUUAUGCUGGAUUUUGAUUCGAUGUGAGCUUCAUGGAUUAAAAUUAACAUAUACUAAUGAAGUUAAACAUCCUAUAAAUUUGUCACACAAUUAAAAUGGUUUGAUGACUUAGAGAUGUAAAAAAUAAAUGUAACUAAUGGAUUUUUCAUUGUAUUAGUCUAAGAUUAGUGUUCAUUUAUCAGUCUUAUCACUUGGUUGAUUUAGAUAUAAUUGAAUUCGUUUUUAUUUCCUUAGAUUUUGUAUGUCUACUUGAUUGUUUUAGAGCUUUAGGUAGUAUGUGUUUUGUAUUUUGUUAGCAGAGCCUUCAAGUGUUCAUUUUGCAGUUACUAAAUUUUGUUAUUGAUGGAGUGAAACUACACCUGAAUAGCUAUGUGCUUUACGGAAUUUAUCUCAACUCAAAUUUAGCGUAAUGUCUUCAGGAUUAUAAAACACAACAUAUGAAUCCCUCAAAAUGAAAUGAUAGACCUUUUUUUGGUUCUUGUAUAUUAGAUCUUUGGUUUCUCGAUAGUUAAGUUUACAUACAUAUAAGACAGUGAAAGUGUUGUCUAAUUAUUAAACUCUGAGAUCUGAUAUGAACUUUUAUUCUUAACAUGAGGUUGUUUUUCAGGUUGAUAGUCACCUGAGAAGGUUUGCUAACACUUAGGACUGUUGUGAAUGGUGUAUUAUUAAAAUGGCAGGAUAUGGAGUUCCAUGGGUGCAGAUUGUAAAUCAACUAUUUUCUACAACACUUUAUUAUUUAAAUUCCAGACAUUAUAUUGUUGGGGUUCUUAAUCACAACGAUUGGACCUGAUUACAUGAUUAUAAUGGUUGUCUGAUAUGAUGCUUUUACACAAUUAUAGGAUCAAAUGAAUCAAGAUGAAGGAUUGGAGUAGCAAGUAAUGAUGCCACAAGAAACAUGCUUGCAUAUAUGUAGCUGCUGAUGUUUAGGGAGAUAAAUAAUACAAAAUAAACUUAGGUAAAAAAAAAAAUUUCUUGUUUUUUUAUUUAUCUAGAUAAAUUUUUUUGGAUAGUUAGAUUGUUUAGCCAAACCAACAAAAAAAUGGUGUUUAUGGAUUUUUUUGAAGAAAAUAUGAAAUUAUAUCAAUUCAAUUUAUUGAGUAUCGUAUAUGUUAUUUU
Chenopodium quinoa (quinoa) is the source of this 2489-nucleotide long non-coding RNA. RefSeq lists it as uncharacterized. The transcript is spliced from 4 exons. NCBI's taxonomy places the organism in Eukaryota, Viridiplantae, Streptophyta, Magnoliopsida, Caryophyllales, Amaranthaceae. The record is from RefSeq and is a predicted model, not a curated record.